AUUAGAAAGCAAGCAACCUGCACCAAAAUUCCCGUUCCACACAGUUACCAUUUCUGCACAGUAUACAUACAUACAUGUAUUUUAAAGAGGAAAAAAAUAGGGCUUGUAUGUAAUGUAAUCCAUUGGCUGAUGUUAUGGUAAUGGCAUCUGAAUAGUCUCUAGGGCUAUCUUCCAAUCUGAGGGAAAAGAUAAAUUAAGAAAGCCACCUCAUAACCAAAGGCAAAGCACUUGCCUCCACCCCUCUCCCCGUAAAAAAGCACAUCUCCUAUAGAGUACACGAUAACUCAUUACUUGUUAGUA
Long non-coding RNA from Oxyura jamaicensis (ruddy duck), 300 nucleotides. RefSeq lists it as uncharacterized. The record is from RefSeq and is a predicted model, not a curated record. The transcript is spliced from 3 exons. Lineage: Eukaryota; Metazoa; Chordata; Aves; Anseriformes; Anatidae.